CCUACGGGAGGCAGCAGUGAGGAAUUUUGGUCAAUGGACGAGAGUCUGAACCAGCAAAGUAGCGUGAUGGAUGACUGCCCUAUGGGUUGUAGACUUCUUUUAUAUGGGAAUAAAAUGUUCCACGUGUGGGAUUUUGUAUGUACCAUAUGAAUAAGGAUCGGCUAACUCCGUGCCAGCAGCCACGGUAAUACGGAGGAUCCGAGCGUUAUCCGGAUGUAUUGGGUUUAAAGGGCGCGUAGGUGGAUUGUUACGUCAGUUGUGAAAGGUUGCGGCUCAACCUUAAAAUUGCAGUUGAAACUGGCAGUCUUGAGUACAGUAGAGGUGGGCGGAAUGCGUGGUGUAGCGGUGAAAUGCUUAGAUAUCACGAAGAACUCCGAGUGCGAAGGCAGCUCACUGGACUGCAACUGACACUGAGGCUCGAAAGUGUGGGUAUCAAACAGGAUUAGAUACCGAGUAGUC
This 459-nucleotide ribosomal RNA is filed under the name uncultured bacterium. RNAcentral describes it as "partial 16S ribosomal RNA". It matches the Rfam family "Bacterial small subunit ribosomal RNA", at positions 338 to 795 of the family's 1533-position model. The record is from RNAcentral.